This 470-nucleotide ribosomal RNA is filed under the name uncultured bacterium. RNAcentral's name for it is "bacterial SSU rRNA". It matches the Rfam family "Bacterial small subunit ribosomal RNA", at positions 10 to 507 of the family's 1533-position model. The record is from RNAcentral.
AGUUUGAUCCUGGCUCAGGAUGAACGCUGGCGGCGUGCCUAACACAUGCAAGUCGAGCGAUUCUCUUCGGAGAAGAGCGGCGGACGGGUGAGUAACGCGUGGGUAACCUGCCCUGUACACACGGAUAACAUACCGAAAGGUAUGCUAAUACGAGAUAAUAUACUUUUAUCGCAUGGUAGAAGUAUCAAAGCUCCGGCGGUACAGGAUGGACCCGCGUCUGAUUAGCUAGUUGGUAAGGUAACGGCUUACCAAGGCGACGAUCAGUAGCCGACCUGAGAGGGUGAUCGGCCACAUUGGAACUGAGACACGGUCCAAACUCCUACGGGAGGCAGCAGUGGGGAAUAUUGCACAAUGGGCGAAAGCCUGAUGCAGCAACGCCGCGUGAGCGAUGAAGGCCUUCGGGUCGUAAAGCUCUGUCCUCAAGGAAGAUAAUGACGGUACUUGAGGAGGAAGCCCCGGCUAACUACGUG